Mangifera indica (mango) is the source of this 1756-nucleotide long non-coding RNA. RefSeq lists it as uncharacterized. Lineage: Eukaryota; Viridiplantae; Streptophyta; Magnoliopsida; Sapindales; Anacardiaceae. The transcript is spliced from 3 exons. The record is from RefSeq and is a predicted model, not a curated record.
GAGUUUUGUUUGAAGAGGGGCUGCCCGGGUACCCAACAGAUAUCUGCACUGAAACAAUGGUGAGAGAUGACAUGAGAAGAGGCAUCUCUCGCUUUCAUAAAGGAGAUGGGCUACAGAUUGUUAUAGUUGCAACGCUCACAAUGAAGCAGACUCGGAUGGAUAUUGAUGUUCUUCAGGCAACUUACAAGAUGGUGCCCUGUUCUUUGGACUCAUGAAGCAACUACCUAUGUUUUGUGCAUGAGCUGGCAGUUACCUAUGUUUUGUAUACAAGCUGAUGUUGACACUAAGAGCAGAUCAGAAGUCGAAAUUGAUGUUUCAUUUUGUCAGAUUCUAGUCAGCAUGUGGACACUAUUUGAUUUCAGGAACUUCCAUUGAGGAUUUAAAGCUGUAGUUUUAAAAUAUGAUUUACUUAAAAUGUUGUUUGAAAGCAUGAUUUUUGAGAUUAAUUGAUACUGCAAAGAUCGUGAAGGAAAAUACAUUGAAAACGUGACGUCUUUUCCUUACCAAAAGCUAUUCUUGUCUUGUUGUGUUUCAGUUUGGUCAACAUUUCUUUGUAGUGCAGAAACCUAGAAAUAUUAAUCCAUGUUGGAUAGUGAUCUUAUGUAUUCAUAUAUAACGAAAAAAUGUUCAAAAGUUUUUUUAUCUUGGUUAGGGUUCUACAUAGUUUGGGGCUUUGAUGUGUAGUGGUAACCUUUUAGAUUAUGUAAAAUUUAAAGAUGUUGAUUUUCAUAUUUUCCCUGUUCUUAUCAUUUUAACUUUCUUUCUUUAUUUUUUUUAGUCUCUCCUCCAUUACUAUGAAAUGGGAAAUAAGCUUUUUGCACAAAUCUUCCUUUGACUGGGAUAUGUCCUUCUACAGGUUGCUGCCAAGAUGCAAACGCUGAGAAAUGUCGCAGACUACAUUGUGUGAAUAUGUUUCUGUAAACCUGCUGGAGUCAGUCAGAACUAUACUGAUUUGAACCUUGUUUCAUAAGCCCUUCGGAAGCUAUUCUGUAGUCAAGUUCACUGGGUUCAUGAUUGACAUACUCCUUUCUGGAUCAACCAUACUGAUUGUCUUUAUCUUUAUGGCUGAACAGUCCUUGCAAAGAUCAAACUUUUGUUAUAAAUUGAUGUUACAUUUAAUUUCUUGUGUAUUGAAUGAUUCAUGAACUAAGCAUUGGCAACCCAAGAUUGUUUCAUGAGCAUUCUUCUCUUGUCUCAACCAGUAGGAUCACAUUGUGAUUUAGUAUGAAGAUCGAUUUAAAUACUUAGUAUAUUAUCUCCAUGUGGAUCUGGGUUUCAGCAGUGCUUCUGUUUUCUUCAACACUUGACAGGGGAAGUCUCGCACUCCAGGUAUCACACCUUAAAAUUCCCAUUCUUGGAAAGCUUAACUGUGAAUGAAUGCUCCAAAUUGAAGACUUCCUCUGGAGAAGGCUUAAGCAUGUCAAGGUUACAAGAGGUGAACACAAGACAUUGUUCGAAGAGUGGCUUAAUAUAGUUAUACAACAAUUACAAAAUGGAGAAGAAGAAAUUCCCAAUUGCUUUCUGAUAUUCUGUUGGAUUAAGGCUUAGUGUGCUUACAGCAUUGAUGGAUGUUAGUAAAGCUGGAAAUUCCACUUUUUUAUGUUUUGACCAUACGAUGUUGUGUUGAUAACAAACUUGUUCUUCUUGCUUUAAUCUCUGAUGGAUCAAUCAGUAAGGGUUUGUUAGUACUCAAAGCUCUGUGCUCAUUCUCUUCAAAAACUGAACUGAGGUAAUCCAUUUGUCAUGAAUUGACUAA